CUCCACUCUCUCUAAAAAUCAAUGGAAAAAAUAUCCUCACUCCUCAGGCCCAGUCAGGGACACAUUCCAGUUGGUUUCUAUCAAAAAUAAAUCAACACAAGUCAUCAA
Long non-coding RNA from Pipistrellus kuhlii (Kuhl's pipistrelle), 108 nucleotides. RefSeq lists it as uncharacterized. The record is from RefSeq and is a predicted model, not a curated record. NCBI's taxonomy places the organism in Eukaryota, Metazoa, Chordata, Mammalia, Chiroptera, Vespertilionidae. The transcript has 2 exons.